Vespa mandarinia (Asian giant hornet) is the source of this 1228-nucleotide long non-coding RNA. Lineage: Eukaryota; Metazoa; Arthropoda; Insecta; Hymenoptera; Vespidae. The record is from RefSeq and is a predicted model, not a curated record.
UGACGUAAAGAACGUUGGCCGACGAUCCAAUUAGUCUCCUUUGCUAACGAUGAAUCUGUCAUUUCGAAUUAUUUUGUGGUACCGGCUACAACCAAGCUUCGUCGUCUCAUUAAUUGCAAGCUUUCAGCACGAAUUGUGCAUGCUGGGAAAGAACAGGAAAGAACAGACAGAGAAGUGGAAUUUAUACGUAUAGCUAGGACUCGAUCAUGUGCAAACGUCGAUCACGCUCAACUGCAAAAGAUAAAUUAUUAGACUGCAUUCCUUAAGCUAAUAUAACGACGUAAGCAAUUAAUUUUGAUGAUAGAUAGAGGUACGUAGUCUGGAAGAGGUACUUUGUCUGGAAUUUUCGUCAUCGGUUUUACUUAUUUACGGUGAGAAAUGAUAUUGGACACAUGACAUCGACACAUGUUAACAGUACAUUGUAGCGCGUACUUGGAAAUAUGCAAGAUGAAUUUGGUGACAGUCGAGCAGAAUUGACACUUUCUCUUUGAGUUUCUACGAUCAUCUAUUCCUCGAUCAAGGCUGUUUUCUUUUACCGUAACUUCAUUCAGUAUGCUAUUAGAGUAUAUUUUUAUUUUGUUUAUGCGUUGUACAUUUAUCGAAUAGCUGAGGAUUUUGAAUUCGUUCUACUUUGAUAACGCCAUUGUAACUUCAUUUUUCCAUUUUUGCAUUGGUGAAUUUAAUAUGGAUUAUUUUAACAAUUAUUGUUAAUAACGUGCGAUAAGUACGUAACGAUUUGAUCAUCAGAAUUGAGAGGACCGGUCUUCAUCGUGCAGUUUGAAAUAACCUAGACGCAACCCUUUCGAAACAUACACUUCAAUGAGAAUUGUCUUGAGAUUUUCUCAAGUUUUCUCAACUUUUCCUUGUGCAUGCUAACCAGAUUCUAUAUCUUUCGAUAUUUUAUAAUGAAGUAAUGAGGACACUCUCAUCUCUUUCCUCCUAAUUUAUGCUGUAGACGUUGUUGGGUUGUUCUGUACGACAGAAUUACGAGAGCCUUUCCACAUAUGCGUCUCGCACCGGACCAACGAUGCUAGUCGAUUUGCAUCGUCUCUUUUUUAUCGUUAGAUUUAUAGAUCGCGACGAAUAAGUCGGCGGUACUAUAGGCUAGGAUACCGUUGAAGGCCGUCAACAAAAUAACCCUUACCGCGUUACGAGAGGAAUAUUAAUGGGAAAUUAACGCGCGUUUAUUUAAAGAAUCCCGUGAGACUAUCGCAAGGUAGAUGAUAAA